Molecule: ribosomal RNA, 506 nt
Filed under: Bacillus cereus
Lineage: Bacteria; Bacillati; Bacillota; Bacilli; Caryophanales; Bacillaceae
Description: bacterial SSU rRNA
Rfam family: Bacterial small subunit ribosomal RNA
Source: RNAcentral
AGGGGGCGGGCUAAUCAUGCAGUCGAGCGAAUGGAUAAGAGCUUGCUCUUAUGAAGUUAGCGGCGGACGGGUGAGUAACACGUGGGUAACCUGCCCAUAAGACUGGGAUAACUCCGGGAAACCGGGGCUAAUACCGGAUAACAUUUUGAACCGCAUGGUUCGAAAUUGAAAGGCGGCUUCGGCUGUCACUUAUGGAUGGACCCGCGUCGCAUUAGCUAGUUGGUGAGGUAACGGCUCACCAAGGCAACGAUGCGUAGCCGACCUGAGAGGGUGAUCGGCCACACUGGGACUGAGACACGGCCCAGACUCCUACGGGAGGCAGCAGUAGGGAAUCUUCCGCAAUGGACGAAAGUCUGACGGAGCAACGCCGCGUGAGUGAUGAAGGCUUUCGGGUCGUAAAACUCUGUUGUUAGGGAAGAACAAGUGCUAGUUGAAUAAGCUGGCACUACCUGAUCAGAAAGCCCCGGCUAACUACGUGCCAGCAGCCGCGGUAAUACGUAGGGGGC